AGUAAAAUGGCUGAAUAAGGUGAUAAAUUGUAAAUUUAUUUAUGGAUAAAUAU
This 53-nucleotide transfer RNA is filed under the name Pyrocoelia analis. Its description in RNAcentral is "tRNA-Tyr". The record is from RNAcentral. Lineage: Eukaryota; Metazoa; Arthropoda; Insecta; Coleoptera; Lampyridae.